ACCCCCUAAGUGGGAGAAUUGCCACCAGAUCCCAUAAGAACUCCGGAGUUAAGCGUGCUCGGGUGGGAGCAGUCACUGGAUGAGUGACCUCCUUGGAAGUCCCAAGGUGCGUGGUA
RNAcentral lists this ribosomal RNA (116 nucleotides) under Spirodela intermedia. Lineage: Eukaryota; Viridiplantae; Streptophyta; Magnoliopsida; Alismatales; Araceae. The record is from RNAcentral.